UAUAUUUUGGUGUAUGAUGCACAGGAAGUUUUGGGCUUCCGGGUUUUAGUUUAAUUCUAAAAAAUAUAA
This 69-nucleotide transfer RNA is filed under the name Rhodnius prolixus. RNAcentral describes it as "tRNA-Gln". The record is from RNAcentral. Lineage: Eukaryota; Metazoa; Arthropoda; Insecta; Hemiptera; Reduviidae.